AGGACGAACGCUGGCGGCGUGCUUAACACAUGCAAGUCGAGCGGAAAGGCCCUUCGGGGUACUCGAGCGGCGAACGGGUGAGUAACACGUGAGUAAUCUGCCCCUAGCUCUGGGAUAGCUCCGGGAAACCGGGAUUAAUACCAGAUACGACCACUUUAGACAUCUGUUGUGGUGGAAAGAAUUUUGGCUAGGGAUGAGCUCGCGGCCUAUCAGCUUGUUGGUGAGGUAACGGCUCACCAAGGCGACGACGGGUAGCCGGCCUGAGAGGGCGACCGGCCACACUGGGACUGAAACACGGCCCAGACUCCUACGGGAGGCAGCAGUGGGGAAUAUUGCGCAAUGGGCGAAAGCCUGACGCAGCGACGCCGCGUGGGGGAUGAAGGCCUUCGGGUUGUAACCCUUUCAGCAGGGACGAAGCGAAAGUGACGGUACCUGCAGAAGAAGCGCCGGCUAACUACGUGCCAGCAGCCGC
This 472-nucleotide ribosomal RNA is filed under the name uncultured bacterium. Its description in RNAcentral is "SSU rRNA". It matches the Rfam family "Bacterial small subunit ribosomal RNA", at positions 26 to 518 of the family's 1533-position model. The record is from RNAcentral.